Long non-coding RNA from Papilio xuthus (Asian swallowtail), 764 nucleotides. RefSeq lists it as uncharacterized. Lineage: Eukaryota; Metazoa; Arthropoda; Insecta; Lepidoptera; Papilionidae. The record is from RefSeq and is a predicted model, not a curated record. The transcript is spliced from 4 exons.
CUUUGAAUGAAAAUGAACGUUUUUCACCUACAGCUAGUUCUAUGCGUUAUAAAUUUAACAACACGAUAUGUAAACGGUAUAAACAUUCGUCGUCAAAAAUUAAACAUGCGCUGCACGCGGCGCUUCUCACCGGGCGUGUGCGCUGAAGCUGUUGUGCCUGUUUGGACUUUUGAUUUCUUCUCGUUAAAUUGCACGUGUAUGGAUGAUUUUUAGGAAGUAUCUCCAGAACGGAUGCAUGAAUCUCGUUGAAAUUUGGCAUAGAUAUAGAACAUAAUCUGGAAGAACACAUAGGCUACUAAUUGAGUUUUACAGUUUAAAUCCACACGGACUUAUUAGCGGGCGAUAGCUACAUAAAAAUAAUUCUCCCUCCAUCCAGUGAACGUCUUGGCUGCUAUCUAUCGACUAGAUCCAACCGGUUUCCGACUUAUAUGCUCUGUUUACGAUCUUGUCGUGCGUUCAUCGAUCUAUACACGCAGACGCUGUCCGAAGAUGACGGACAGUUGAAGAGAUUACGCUCAGAAACUCGUGAAUCGAUCCGUCGAGGUGAUGGUUUUCUCCAGUCAUUCUACAAGACAGAAGAUACUGAGGAGGAGGAGCAAUCAGAAAUGUGGGAGGGUCCCGCUACGGAGGGGGCGGAGCUAGACGUAGCGGUGAGUGAGCUGCUGGUGCCCGACAUUGACUACGCGGGGGUACAAGUUAACAACGAAGAUUGUGAUCUUGUACAUCAUUUGCAUACGUCUAAAUAUAAUAAAUUAAAUUAAUAA